UAGUCCACGCCCUAAACGAUGUCAACUGGCUGUUGGGCUCAUUAAGGAGCUUAGUGGCGAAGCUAACGCGUUAAGUUGACCGCCUGGGGAGUACGACCGCAAGGUUGAAACUCAAAGGAAUUGACGGGGGCCCGCACAAGCGGUGGAGCAUGUGGUUUAAUUCGAUGCAACGCGAAGAACCUUACCAGGACUUGACAUCCAGAGAACUUUCGAGAGAUCGAUUGGUGCCUUCGGGAACUCUGUGACAGGUGCUGCAUGGCUGUCGUCAGCUCGUGUCGUGAGAUGUUGGGUUAAGUCCCGUAACGAGCGCAACCCUUGUCCUUAGUUGCCAGCACGUAAUGGUGGGAACUCUAGGGAGACUGCCGGUGACAAACCGGGAGGAAGGUGGGGACGACGUCAAGUCAUCAUGGCCCUUACGUCCUGGGGCUACACACGUGCUACAAUGGAACGCACAGA
This 456-nucleotide ribosomal RNA is filed under the name uncultured bacterium. RNAcentral's name for it is "bacterial SSU rRNA". It matches the Rfam family "Bacterial small subunit ribosomal RNA", at positions 791 to 1243 of the family's 1533-position model. The record is from RNAcentral.